CAGUAGCCGCGGGAAUACGAAGGGGGCUAGCGUUGCUCGGAAUGACUGGGCGUAAAGGGCGCGUAGGCGGUUUUCCAAGUUAGAUGUGAAAUUCCUGGGCUUAACCUGGGGGCUGCAUUUGAUACUGGGAGGCUUGAGUGUGGAAGAGGGUCGUGGAAUUCCCAGUGUAGAGGUGAAAUUCGUAGAUAUUGGGAAGAACACCGGUGGCGAAGGCGGCGACCUGGUCCAUAACUGACGCUGAGGCGCGAAAGCGUGGGGAGCAAACAGGAUUAGAUACCCCGGUAGUCCCUGUCUCUUAACA
This 301-nucleotide ribosomal RNA is filed under the name uncultured bacterium. RNAcentral describes it as "partial 16S ribosomal RNA". It matches the Rfam family "Bacterial small subunit ribosomal RNA", at positions 509 to 808 of the family's 1533-position model. The record is from RNAcentral.